Equus caballus (horse) is the source of this 4922-nucleotide long non-coding RNA. RefSeq lists it as uncharacterized. Lineage: Eukaryota; Metazoa; Chordata; Mammalia; Perissodactyla; Equidae. The record is from RefSeq and is a predicted model, not a curated record.
GCUUCAUCAGAAACCAACCCUGCUGGGACAUUGAUCUUGGACUUCCAGCUUCCAGAACUUGGAUUUAAAGACGGAGUUUACAAUUGGCUGUUGAACGGAUGACGUAUGCAUUCCUGUUUACAGUGUCUACACAGCACCAAUGCCAGGCUUAACAGUUUCUUCACAGGUUCUCCAGAAGGGGAAUCUAACGUCUAAGAAAUCCGAAGAAUUUCAAACACAUUAUAAGAAAUAUCAUCAGACUGGCCUCUACCCUACUGCCUUUCUUUAUGUUUAAUGUUAUGCAGGAAGAAUUAAAAGAGGUUUGUUUCAGUUUUUUCUUGUAUUGAGAUAGAGCUGUUUUCCAAAGCAUUACACCAUUAUCCCUUCAAUUUAGGGGGAAGAAAAGAUAGGACUAGGGAAUUUUUUUUUGACUGAGUUGAUUAUCCUAACAGUUACUGACUCACAGGAUUAUAUCACCCUUUGCUCUAAAAAAAUCAAUUCAAAAAUUUUACUUUAACCUGUUAAAUAGUUUUUCUAAAAUAUUUACAUGCAAUUCCAGGUACAGUUGGCCCUCCACGUCCUCAGGUUCAGUAAGCUGGGGUUUUGCAUCCUUGUGUUCCGUGUCCUGGGAUUCAGCCAACCCCAGAGCAAAAGGCCCACGAUGGUUGCCUCUGUACUGAACAUGUACAGAGGUUUUUUUUUUCUGUCAUUAUUCCAUGAACAAUACAGUAUAACAAGAAUUUACAUAGCACUUACAUUGUAUUAGGCAUUAUAAUUAAUCUAGCGAUGAUUUAAAGUGUAACGGAGGAUGUGCAUAGGUUAGAUGCAAAUGCUACACCAUUUAUAUAAAGGACUUGAGCAUCCAUGGGUUUUGGUAUACAGUGGGGUCCUGGAACCAAUCCCCCCAAGGAUACUGAGGGACGACAGUAUCCAAAAUUCCUUCUGUUCUUCCUAUAGUCUUGACCUACAAGGCUAUCUUCAUGAUACAAAAGAUAAUAUAAUUUCUGUGCCCACUCAGAGAAAUUCAUAACUUUAAAAAAAAUCACAGAAAUCAGUUACUUAAAGCUAGUAAUGUGAGACACGUAAUAUUAAAUUACUAUCCAAAGAGAGACUGCCUACAAAAGCUUUAGAUUCAGAAAAUCUUUUACUUGUUUAAGAACAUAGUGAAGUGAAUACAGAAAUUUUAAUGUAGAAAUCAGAUAAGUCAGAGAUUUUCAUGAUGUCAUUUCAUGACUUAAACUCUUUCUGAAGAUGUAAUUAUUUUUAAACUACUUUAAUAGUUACAGACCGCAAAAAAUACUUAUCAGAAUACCUUCGUGCAUUUAUUUACUGAAGAUGGGGUUUUGGUCCUUAAAGCAUUUUUCAAAAGUAUUCAUUUCUAGUUAUUUUAGAUAACUCUCUUAGAAGAUUCUGCUGUCUUUCACCAGUAUUCUUAUCAAAUAAAAUAAAACGUAAAGAUAAAUUUAUCUAAGAGGCAAGGAAUAGAACAGAGUUACGAUGAACCAGCACUUGAAGAGGGGCAAAGAAAACAUGAAUGGACCUGGCUUCUGACAAGUGAUUAUGAUUCAGGUCUUUGCUGAGUGCCUCAUUAACAUAUUGGGUUGUGAUUUGCACAUCUAUUUUGGAAAAUAACACCCACGAGGAGUAUAUUUUGUAGCCUGAGAAGAGAAGUUUUGGGACGAUAUCAAGUUUCUGAAGGUUAAAAUUUGUUUAAGUUUCUGAAGGUUGAAGGUUAAGUUUUCGAAGGCUCUUAUGCAGGGAAGGAUUUGAUAGAUUCUACAAAAGUCCAGAGGACAAAACUAGAAUCGUAAUUAGAAGGUACAGAGAGAGAGCAUUUAGCACAGCUGAAGGGCAAACUUUCUUUCAGCUAGAGCUGUCAAAAGACAGAAUGGCUGCUGUGCAGUCAUCAAUUCCCCGAGAAGGCACAAAGGUAUCUUGGAGACACGUUCUACUGGCUGGACUGGAUGCUCUCAAACAUCCCAUGAUUCCAUAGAACAGGGCCUAAUAUCUUUUCUUUGACAAACUAUUGGGAUUCAAGCUUCUAAACUUGUCCAAUACAAAUCGUAAUUCUCAAUAAAUGUUAGGUGACAAUUUGAUAGUUCUCUGGAACAAAGAGAAAAUGGUAGAUCAUCAUAGAAACUAAGACAUGAUUACAAAAAGUAAUGGAAAAACACGAGUCCAUUUCCACUGAUCAUCUCUCUUUAUGCCUAUGAAUGAACAGCUCAUCCUAUUUCCAAGGUGAAUUAGAUGAGAAAAAUGAGUAAAAGUGAUGACAUCAGAACCUGUGUGGGUGAAAAAUGUCAAGCAUUUCUAGCAGACAUGGAUGACUGAAGAAGAAAAACCUCAGUUUGCUAUUAAGCAGAUAAAAUGGCAGCAACAUCAACUAGGUGAAACAAAAUCAGCUAUUUAAAAGCUCACUUGAACAAAGUCUUCCCAGAAACCUCUUGGAACUUUCUUUUUAAUUCUCUCAGGAAGAAGAUAACUCAAAAGUCGAAUUGAUAUGUCAAAACAUCUUUAAGAUGUUGUUUGUUCAACAUCACGACUAAAGACUUGCAGCACUAAACACACACACCAGUCUCAGAAGCAGCAGGCAAUGCAAGAGAAUCUUUCAAAGAGAGUAAAGGGCCAAAUGGAGCUCUCUGGGUCUUUCUCCCGGCCUCAAACUGUAGAAAACCAAUAACUGGCUGGUGAUGAUUUCCCUUGGGACAACUGGGUCUACUCCAGGUCUCCCUCCAGAAGAUUAUGCUACAUCAGGGCAUACAUGAAGUAUUCUCUUUUGCUCGAAGUUUUUAAAGAAAAUUGUGCUGAUUUACAGUACUCUAGGUCAGAACCAUUCAUGGGCUUCACAGACAUACAGAUUUCUGAGCUGCAUUCCCAAAGAUCACACUUCCAAAAGGCCUUAGGAGGGGGCUGAGUAUCUGUAUUUUUAAAGGAUCUAGAGGUGAUUCUGCUGCCCUUCCAGGACUGAGAAGGAAUGAUCUUGGAGGUAGGUGCAGGGAAAGUCUAGUGGUGAGGGGGAGUUCAAUGACGCCAGCAGACAGGUGGGAAUUCCAGCGGCUGAGGGUCUCUGGGAUACGGACUGAGCAGGGUGAUGGUUCUUAACAAUUUGUGGGUCAUGGACGUUUUUGAGAAUUUGAUUUAAAUAAAACUAUGAAUUCUCUUCCUUCACAUUUGCAAAAAGAACCCCCACAAAAUUAUGCCAAGAUUUCACAACCUUAAGGAAACUUAUGCUAGACAUUUAUAAGUCAGGAAGUGGGGACAUCACUGGUGCCAUAAAUCUCAAUAUACAUCUUUUACACAGGCUUGUUUUCUGAUCCAGACAAACAGGAGACUAUUACAUGUCCUUUCUCACUGCAAAUGAAACACAGCAGCAUGGCAGCAAUAUAGCACUGGUUUUUUAAAAAGUUUUAGGGGAACGGAGAGCAUGGACUUGUUGAGACUGACUUGGGUUUGAAUUUCGGCUCCAACGUGGUAUAUCUCAACUAACCUUGAGCAAGUAAUCCUUACUCUCGUCUCAGUAUUCUUUUCUGUAAAUUGGAUUACUAACAUCUCUUUUGUUGAGUUGUUGAGAGGAUUAAAUGAGAAAAUACAUAGGUAAGACAUUUUGCACCACGUCCAACAACUAGUAGGUAACCUAGGGAACAAAUAAAUGGAAACAAUAUGGCCCAUGACUCACACUGUUAACAAUAUGAACAAUCUUCCCUAAUGGACACAUUCCAGCAGGAAUAUCAGGUGCCCUGGGAUCUUUUACAGAGAUAUGGAACCCAAGUGGGUUUGGAAAAUUAACCAGUCCUUCCAGGCGUAUAGACAAUAGUAUCAGUCUAGUCUCAGCCUAUCCCAUAAGGCAGGCUCUUCAAACUUGGAUGUGCUUGUGAAUCACUUGAAGAUCCUGUUAAACUGCAGAUUCCAAUUCAGCAGGUUUGGAGUGGGACCUGUGAGCCCGAAGAACUCCUAAUCUCCCAGUGUAUAGCAUGCUGCUGGCCUGUGGACCAACUUUUGAGGGUAGAAGGACUAUCUGGAACCUCCAAAACCAAGAGUGGGGGAGAAAAAGAGGGAGCAAGAGAGAUUGGCUUUUAAAAUAAUAAAACUCUUUAGAAAUGCAUGCUUUUACUUAUUAUUGGCUCACUCCAACCAAUUUGAGCAUCCACCCACCCAAGCACAUAGCAUAAUUUUGGAGGCCACCACAUGGCCUCAGGUCUAAGAGUCACUACAAAUGCUAAACUGCAUGACCCCAAAAUGAUCUGCUAAAGUAUACGGAAUCCAAUGUUAGAUGCAGGAAGAGGGUAGAAUAUUAUAGGACUUACUGACAUAACCCUAUAAUGCUCCAGGACUAUUCAGAUUACAAGAAAGGGUAUUGCUCUCCUCAAUUUUAAAUUCAACAUUUAAAUUUUAAAUAUACAUUAAAUAAUUAUGCACAGUUCUAUAUUUUUAAUGUAUUUAUGAAUAAAUCAUAAGAAAUUUUAGGGAUUCUUAUAGGAUAUGUACUACUAUAUUUUGUUUAUAGCUCUCUCACUGAAGUACUUUCAAGAUUUUUACUGACCACACCUACUCUAAUUUUACCUCCCACUCCAUCUCACCCAUCUUCUGCUACUCAUUUAUUUAUUUCUCCGGGGACUAAGAUAAGGCCUUUACACAAUGUUUUUUCCACAAUCAAGAGAAGAGAGUAGUAAAAUGAGGGACAAAAUCUCAUACAAGUUCAAGCAGAUAACUAAACAGAUACACACUGCCCCCAACAAAGACCAGACAUUUCUGAUUUUAUAAUACAUUUUAUUAGUUUGUAUUAGUAUUUCACCUGUCCCUUCCCUUAGGGACUCUUUAAUGUUAAUUUAAAUAAAUAUUCUACAAGCAUUCCAAAGUAACAAAAGUGUUGAGGGCCAGCCCCAUGGCCUAGUAGUUAAGUUCAGUGCCCUCCACUUCGGCAGCCUGGGUUCAGUUCCCAGACA